Molecule: transfer RNA, 70 nt
Filed under: Neoperla ignacsiveci
Lineage: Eukaryota; Metazoa; Arthropoda; Insecta; Plecoptera; Perlidae
Description: tRNA-Met
Rfam family: tRNA
About the family: Transfer RNA (tRNA) molecules are approximately 80 nucleotides in length. Their secondary structure includes four short double-helical elements and three loops (D, anti-codon, and T loops).
Source: RNAcentral
AGAAAGAUAAGCUAAUACAAGCUAAUGGGUUCAUACCCCAUUUAUAGAGGUUGUAAUCCUCUUUUUUCUA